Molecule: ribosomal RNA, 253 nt
Filed under: uncultured bacterium
Lineage: Bacteria
Description: partial 16S ribosomal RNA
Rfam family: Bacterial small subunit ribosomal RNA
Source: RNAcentral
UACAGAGGGCGCGGGCGUUAAUCGGAAUUACUGGGCGUAAAGCGUGCGUAGGCGGUCGUGUAAGUGGGGUGUGAAAGCCCCGGGCUCAACCUGGGAAUUGCAUUCGAGACUGCACGGCUGGAGUGCGGAAGAGGGAAGCGGAAGUUCCGGUGUAGCGGUGAAAUGCGUAGAUAUCGGAAGGAACAUCAGUGGCGAAAGCGGCUUCCUGGUCCAGCACUGACGCUCAGGCACGAAAGCGUGGGGAGCAAACAGG